This 465-nucleotide ribosomal RNA is filed under the name uncultured bacterium. Its description in RNAcentral is "partial 16S ribosomal RNA". It matches the Rfam family "Bacterial small subunit ribosomal RNA", at positions 28 to 507 of the family's 1533-position model. The record is from RNAcentral.
GACGAACGCUGGCGGCGUGCUUAACACAUGCAAGUCGAACGGAAAGGCCCUGCUUUCAGUGUACUCGAGUGGCGAACGGGUGAGUAACACGUGGGUGAUCUGCCCUGCUCUUCGGGAUAAGCCUCGUAAACUGGGUCUAGUACCUGCUAGGAGCCAUAUUUAGUGUCAUGGUUGGAAAGUUUUUUCGGUGUAUGAUGAGCUCGCGGCCUAUCAGCUUGUUGGUGUGGUAAUGGCCUACCAAGGCGGCGACGGGUAGCCAGACUGAGAGGGUGGACUGCCACACUGAGACUGAGAGAAGGCACAGACUCCUACGCGAGGCAGAAGUGGGGAAGAUUGCAGAAUGAGCGCAAGGCUGAUGCAGAGACGCCGCGGGGGGGAUGACGGUCUUAGGGUUGAAAAAUAAUUUCGCAAGGGACGAAGCUCUUCGUGACGGUACCUAGACAAGAAGCCACGGCUAACUACGUG